RNAcentral lists this ribosomal RNA (488 nucleotides) under Triticum aestivum (bread wheat). RNAcentral's name for it is "partial small subunit ribosomal RNA". The record is from RNAcentral. Lineage: Eukaryota; Viridiplantae; Streptophyta; Magnoliopsida; Poales; Poaceae.
GCUUCAACAAAAAAAAAGAAAAUGUUUCCAGCAAAAGCACUUGCCGCUUCCAGCAAAACUAUGAAUUAUUGUCACUGGGUCGUAGCAAAAAAAAAAUCAUCGCUUCCAGUAAAAAAAUUGCUGGUUCCAGCAAGGAUAGAUCGCCGUCGCACCACGGCUGUCGCCGGUUCCAUCAUUUGUUUUGCUGGUUGCAACUCCACCGGCCUAUGGUUGUAGCUCUGCCGCGCCAGGGUAGCAGCAUCUCCGCCGGCGAAUCGCAUCAGUGGUUGGCGUCGGCCGUCCCGCUUGUAGCCCGUCGUUGCCUCUCCUCAAAAUAGGGGGCUCCGCUGCUUGUAGCACUUGCGCUGGCCGACUUGCAGCACUUGUGCCGCUGCCCCCGCCCGCAGCAGCCGACUCCUUCCCCGUAUUUGCAACGCAAGUGGCCAUGGAUAUCUAGCAGCAGCAUGUGGGAGAAGAAGAGAAAAGGGGAAGAGAGAUAGUGUUCAGGC